This 207-nucleotide non-coding RNA is filed under the name Rhodobacteraceae bacterium KLH11. The record is from RNAcentral. Lineage: Bacteria; Pseudomonadati; Pseudomonadota; Alphaproteobacteria; Rhodobacterales; Paracoccaceae. RNAcentral also lists the same sequence under 1 other name.
CCGCAUGUCCGGUCCGUUGGUGUCUGCAGCAGCAGAUGAAAAGGGAAUGCGUCAGCGGAGUCUCCGCCAAACGCAGCCGCCCCCGCGACCGUGACCGGAGAGGGUGCCCAAAGCCACUGGCCUGAUGGCCGGGAAGGCGGGACAUCCGACAGGGCCAAAGCCCUGACAUCCGCAAGCCGGGAGACCUGCCAACGCCCGAAGAUGAAA